GCCUGGCUCUGAUCCGCACCCCUCUGGCGAUCCCCGCAGGCAAGAACUCAGGAGGCUGUGGGCUCCUGGGAAGUUUCUGGGCUCCUGGAAAGGCAUCGUAUCCAAACAGGGGCAGCGCCCGCUGCUGCGCUCCUGCUGGCGCGUGCUGCGCAGAGUGAGCGAAGCGACGGACGCGGACCCACCAUCCUAUCACUCCAUGCGCAGCAACUGUGUGCACUUUGCACUGUGUCUGCUCGUCCCAGGUCCCAGCCUGGACCCCCGGCAAAUAGACGGGAGCUCCAGCAGGUGUCAAUGGACGUGGACGUGUCCCCGGAUUAAGCAUGACCUUGGCCCUCCUGGGUGGACGUGGAGGCUUCAGAAAGAUUCAUUAAACUACUUUCCA
Molecule: long non-coding RNA, 382 nt
Filed under: Homo sapiens (human)
Lineage: Eukaryota; Metazoa; Chordata; Mammalia; Primates; Hominidae
Description: non-protein coding lnc-AP3B2-1:5
Source: RNAcentral